UACAGAGGGGGCAAGCGUUGUUCGGAAUUACUGGGCGUAAAGGGCGCGUAGGCGGCCUGCUAAGUCGAACGUGAAAUCCCCGAGCUCAACUCGGGAACUGCGUCCGAUACUGGCAGGCUUGAAUCCGGGAGAGGGAUGCGGAAUUCCAGGUGUAGCGGUGAAAUGCGUAGAUAUCAGGAGGAACACCGGUGGCGAAGGCGGCUAUCUGGACAGAAACUGACGCUGAGGCGCGAAAGCUAGGGGAGCAAACAGG
RNAcentral lists this ribosomal RNA (253 nucleotides) under uncultured bacterium. RNAcentral describes it as "partial 16S ribosomal RNA". It matches the Rfam family "Bacterial small subunit ribosomal RNA", at positions 524 to 776 of the family's 1533-position model. The record is from RNAcentral.